This 605-nucleotide ribosomal RNA is filed under the name Hafnia sp. ARS038-10. Its description in RNAcentral is "bacterial SSU rRNA". It matches the Rfam family "Bacterial small subunit ribosomal RNA", at positions 202 to 789 of the family's 1533-position model. Lineage: Bacteria; Pseudomonadati; Pseudomonadota; Gammaproteobacteria; Enterobacterales; Hafniaceae. The record is from RNAcentral.
AAAGUGGGGGACCUUCGGGCCUCACGCCAUCAGAUGUGCCCAGAUGGGAUUAGCUAGUAGGUGGGGUAAUGGCUCACCUAGGCGACGAUCUCUAGCUGGUCUGAGAGGAUGACCAGCCACACUGGAACUGAGACACGGUCCAGACUCCUACGGGAGGCAGCAGUGGGGAAUAUUGCACAAUGGGCGCAAGCCUGAUGCAGCCAUGCCGCGUGUAUGAAGAAGGCCUUCGGGUUGUAAAGUACUUUCAGCGAGGAGGAAGGCAUUGUGGUUAAUAACCACAGUGAUUGACGUUACUCGCAGAAGAAGCACCGGCUAACUCCGUGCCAGCAGCCGCGGUAAUACGGAGGGUGCAAGCGUUAAUCGGAAUUACUGGGCGUAAAGCGCACGCAGGCGGUUGAUUAAGUCAGAUGUGAAAUCCCCGAGCUUAACUUGGGAACUGCAUUUGAAACUGGUCAGCUAGAGUCUUGUAGAGGGGGGUAGAAUUCCAGGUGUAGCGGUGAAAUGCGUAGAGAUCUGGAGGAAUACCGGUGGCGAAGGCGGCCCCCUGGACAAGACUGACGCUCAGGUGCGAAAGCGUNGGGGAGCAAACAGGAUUAGAUACCCUG